UAAAUAAAUAAUUAAAAGAAAAAAUUGCCUCAAGAAAAAGGCACUUUGGGCACCCCUCAAUAAAGGGGCGGGUGCUCAAGCCCCUCCCCCCCUGCACGUGCCUGCACACGCAUCCCCCUGACUACAUGGAAAGAAACUCACUACAUGUAACAGCACAUGGAUCUGAGGGACCUGAUGAGCAGUUUGAGGGGAAAAAAUGGCACAGAGGUACAGGAAACAGAGGGUAUGGUCUAUUUGACAAAAGGUAUGUAUGCAAUUUUCACUGCACAAAACUGUUUUUAUAGAAUACAUGACAGCAUUCCACAUGCUUCUCUUUCUAAAGCUGAAUAAUAUGAUUGGGUCUAUGCCUAAAAUGAGUGCAACACUGCAAACACUGGGAAUAAAUUUACAUUUCAGGGGUAAAACAUUGCAAUGAGGUGUUUAGGAAGCAUCUAACAGCAAACAUUAGUGCUGUAUGAACUGUGCAGCUAUUAACAAAAACCUUCUCUGUAUAUCCAGCAGGUGGAACCAUGCAAGUUGACCCCAGACUCUCCAGAAUUGUGUGAUAUUUGUACAAAUGUGCUGGUCAAACACAUGGCCACACUCUACUGAAGUCUGUAACUCUUAUGCACCUGCAUUUAUUCCUUCAUCCAAACAUAAUGACACACUUUAGUUUGGAAUAAGCUUAUUGAUUGGUUUAAAUACAUUUGUCCUGUUUGGGAGCAUGCUCAUUGAGUUUAUGUAUUUAUUGUGAGGUCUAGAAGUGUUUGGUUUCCUUGCAAAUACCAUGAGGACUGUAAUUAAUUGUAGAUCACUUAAUGGUUAAGUGCAUCCUGAGAAUUCAAAAUACUAUAAGUAGAAAAGUUACAGUUUUACAUGAUUUGAGGGUUGUUUGUGCAGGCUGUGUGCAGGAAUUCGGGACUGAACCAGAACAAGGUCGAGAAACAGUAGCUCUCACAGACGGAUGCUGCCUCAGGCACAUGAAACUAGAUCACAGGUUAGGGAAAGGCAGGCCAGUGUGUGCGUCCAUCCCUAGGUGAAGCUGCACCCGAUGGAGGAGAAGAAAAGCACCAAUAAGUGGGACUAAAGUCUAAACCACAUCCUUCUUCAACAGUUUUUUAAUCAAUCACAUAGUAGCAUAUUGAGGGAGCUAAUGAGCAGUUAGAGAAAAAAAUAGUACAGAGGUACAGGAAACAGUUUAUGACGAAACUUUCUAUUUGGCAAGAGAUAGCUAUGUAAUUCUCAUUGAUCACAACUGCUUUUAUAGAAUAAAUGACAGGUUUCCACAUGCUUCUCUUUCUAAAGCUGAAUAAAAUGAUUGGGUCUAUGGCUAAAAUGAGUGCAACACUGCAAACACUGGGAAUAGCUUCACAUUUCAGGGGUAAAAUAUUGCAAUGAGGUGUUUUGGAUCUAACAGCAAACAUUAGGGCUGUAUGAAUUGUGCAGGUGUUAACAAAAACUUCUCUGUGUAUCCAACAGGUGGAACCAUGCAAGUUGACCCCAGACUCUCCAAAAUGUGAUGUGGGGGAAAUUAAAGGUGGUGGUGACUCCCAAAGCUGACUUCAGACCAAGAACAUGUGAAGCAUCCAUCUAAAGAAGUUGAAGGAAGGUAUAAAAAGGAAACAAUUCAUUGAGUAACUUCAGUUUUCUGAUGAUCUGACAUCACAGACGGAGUGAAGUGUCAGACGCUGUUCUUCUGAAGUUUAACAACUUUUCUGCAUCAGGAUCAAAGUCAGAAUGAAAAUCCUCCAUUUUCUCUUUUUCUGCUUCUUGUCAGAUCCAGCUGGACUCGUCAAGGCAAAGCAUUAUAACAUUAUCUAUACUGCAGCUGAAGGAGGAAAUGCUUCACUUCGAUGCCCUUUAACUUUGCCUGGAAGCACAAAGUUUUUCUGUAAGGAAAAAUGUGAGCGAGCAGAAGAUAUCCUCAUUAAAGCAGAUGGAAGCACAGCUCAAAGUGGGAGAUUCAGCAUUAAAUAUGACGAUGUAUCUCCAGGAAGCAGAUUUGUGUUUGUGACCUUCACACACAUGAUCAAGUCUGACUCAGGAAUGUACAGGUGUGGUUUGGGAAACUCUUCUGCUCCAGCUUCAUAUUAUGACUUUGGGGUCAGAGUUUCAAAUGAUCUGGAUAAAAACUCUGGUUUUAUCCGCAAAGAAACUGAGGGAGAAAACAUCACAUUAGUAUGUUCCAGUACUCUUACUGGAGAGAGAAAGUUCUUGUGUAAGAGUGAGUGCAAGAAUGAAGGGGAGAUCCUCAUUGACACAACUAAUAACAAAGCUGUGAGUGGCAGAUACAGCAUUGAACACAACCCAGGAUCUACAUUUGGACUGUAUGCGACCAUCACACAGGUGACCAAGUCAGACACAGGACGAUACAUAUGUGGUUAUGGAAACCCUCUGUCUCCAGAUUCAUUUGUCGGUGAUUAUCUUCUUGUCAUUGAUGCAACACAGAGUGAAAGUGUCACUCCAGGAGGCUCUACACACUGUCCUGACUCCUCCUGGCUUCUGGUUGUGCGUGCGUCCUUGGAUGGUGUUUUGCUGAUGGCUGUUUUCCUCAUGCUCUUCUACAUUAGUAAGACAAGGAGGAACUUUGGACUGAACACCAGAGAAAAUGACACAAACAUGGAGGUGAGUUUGUGUCACUUGUUUUCUGUCUGUUGUUGCAGGUUUCAGUGAGUGCUGUUGAUUCAUGCUGUCAGUGGGACUUGAGACAACACGAACAAUUGUUGCAUCAGACACCGACAUGUUAUAUAAUUAUGCCAUCAGAGAAGAUACCGGAACUCAGUAGUUACUUCACAAUCCUUUAUUCACCUUCAACCAUUUAUUCACCUUCUUGAAGAGGAGAUGUGCAUGGCCCGGCAGUCUGCAAAAUCUCAACCCUUUGUCUGUUACACACAGUUUCAUAGAAGUGACCCUCAUUGUAAACCCUAUAUGGUGUGUCCUAAACUUAAGACACUGUGUUUGUGUAUGUAUGUACGAACAUGUGAGUGCGUGUGUAUGUGUGUGUGUGUGUGUGUGUGUGUGUGUGUGUGACUUCCUGCUUUUCAUAAAAAGGUUAGAGCAAACUAAAACCCCCACUCUACUUCCAUUUGGCAGUUUCCACUGGGACACUAGCCUCUUGUUGUCUUACUUUUACAGCUAAGCAUGUGGAGAGUCUCCUGCAAACCUACUUCUACGUUGUGACAGUUAUGAGCCUUUAUUACAUUCAGGGACGAGGGUAACAGACUUCUCCUCUCUUUCCUUUCUGUUCCAUACAGUCCUUCCAUCCCCCAACUGUAGCUUCCUGCCUCCUUUUAUGACAGGCAGACCCCCAGUGUCAAUAAAUUCCUCUCCCUCUAUACAAUUACACACACUCUCAGGCCUAUAGCUAAACCAAACUAAAACACACAGACAUUCACAAAUCCUUCCCUGUUCCUCUGAUCUACAGCUGAACCCUCUCAUCUAUGCAAAUUUAAGCACAUUAUAUUCCAAUCAUUGUUUUCUUGUACUCACAAUAUUUAGAAUGUUUUUUUUGUUUGUUUGUUUUGUUUCUCUGAAAAAAACAUUUGUGUUUCUUAUUUUGUAUUCCCAGUUUUCGAAACUGAUGUUGCAUGAGGUGGUUUAAACUCUGUUGUGCAUCUCAGGUUUUGUGUUGUUAUUUUUAUUUUUUGUUAUCUCAGUAUCCAACCUCCACACAUAAAGAGCCCAAAAGCAGCAGGACCAAACCUACUCUGCAUUAUUAAAGACCAAAAUCUAAAAUUUGUAACUUUACCUGUUCUAAAUUUAGCGAAUUUACUCGCUUUUCUCCUUUUCUACCAUCAUUUCUUUGAUAUUUUUGAGCAUAUUUCUAUAAUCUUAUCAUCACCUCACAUAUAAUUUGCUUCACUGUGCUCCUGUAUUGUUUGCAUAUAUGUGUAUGUUAUGAACCUUAACAUAAGGUUUAUAUUAUAACUAUGUGAAUCAGGUCACAUUACAAAGCAAAAACAAUGUAACAAGUACAACACGAUUUAUACUUUAAAAACAGCAGUAAUAUGGAUGGACCUGCUUUUAAAUGCUUUUAAAUUCUUUCAAAGAUGUUUUUAACAAAAGUGACAUGAAAAUAAAGAACACAUAAAUUCAAAGAAGCAGGAAGUAGAAAUAGUCAAAUAUAAGACAGAGCAAAUUCUUGCUGCUGUUGUCUCCUCUUCUUUAGUCGGUGGUUGUUUGUUUUCUUCAGCCAGCUGUUUCAUCAGGUCUCUCUCUCUCUUUCUCUCUCUCCUUUG
Oreochromis niloticus (Nile tilapia) is the source of this 4217-nucleotide RNA transcript. It is a transcript of the gene named polymeric immunoglobulin receptor, with no coding region annotated. NCBI's taxonomy places the organism in Eukaryota, Metazoa, Chordata, Actinopteri, Cichliformes, Cichlidae. The transcript is spliced from 6 exons. The record is from RefSeq and is a predicted model, not a curated record.